Molecule: ribosomal RNA, 460 nt
Filed under: uncultured bacterium
Lineage: Bacteria
Description: partial 16S ribosomal RNA
Rfam family: Bacterial small subunit ribosomal RNA
Source: RNAcentral
CCUACGGGAGGCAGCAGUGAGGAAUAUUGGUCAAUGGCCGUAAGGCUGAACCAGCCAAGUCGCGUGAAGGAAGAAGGAUCUAUGGUUUGUAAACUUCUUUUAUAGGGGAAUAAAGGUAUCCACGUGUGGAUCUUUGCAUGUACCCUAUGAAUAAGCAUCGGCUAACUCCGUGCCAGCAGCCGCGGUAAUACGGAGGGUGCGCGCGUUAUCCGGAUUUAUUGGGUUUAAAGGGUGCGUAGGUGGUUUUUUAAGUCAGCGGUGAAAGUUUGUGGCUCAACCAUAAAAUUGCCGUUGAAACUGGAAGACUUGAGUGUGUUUGAGGUAGGCGGAAUGCGUGGUGUAGCGGUGAAAUGCAUAGAUAUCACGCAGAACUCCGAUUGCGAAGGCAGCUUACUAAGCCAUAACUGACACUGAAGCACGAAAGCGUGGGGAUCAAACAGGAUUAGAUACCCGGGUAGUC